AGGUCAAUAUAAUAAAAUUAGCAAUACUUCCAUUUCCUCUAAAAUACCGUUCCCUUAAAAUAUUAAAGCCCCCUCUAUUUAUAAUGGAGUUCAGAUCACUUUGAACCUUAAAAACCAAGCCAGCUUUUUUCCCCCCUUUUUUUUCAAGACAGCUUUCUUAAGAAGAUCCAGUUUAGUUCCAUCACAAUAUAGCAAUUACCCAGCCAAUGUUGCCUUGGCCUUCUCUUCUGGAAGAAAGUUGGAAUCCAAGGGCUGCUACUGUUUCCCAAAACGUGGGAUUUACUGUGCUGUGCCUGUGUCCCAGAGCACCUUUGACGCUUCCUUUGCUCCGCUGGUCACUUUUAGCUGCUCCCAGCAGAUGGAGCCCCAGCUAAAUUUUCUUGAGCCAGUCAUUUUGUUCAUGGGGCUGUCUGGCGUAAACAGGAAGACGAGGGGAGAAAAAACUUUUGUGGCUGUUUUUGUCUUUUGAGAAAGAGAUCUGAUUUUAAAUAGAACACUUUGUGUCGGAACCGAUUUAGAUGCUUCAGUUAUAAGAGGGAUUAAGCUAUCUGAGAAACAUUUUACAAAUUCAAUCCUAAAUUUAUUUAAGGAGUUUGAUUAUCUUUAAAGGAUCCAGUGCAUAGUACUGUAUUUCACAAGCGGUUGUUCUGAUGCUGAAUGGAGGAGAGAAGCUUCUUGAAGGAAAAGUGAUGAGGGGAAGGGAAAGGAAGGGCGAGGCCGUUUGCACGCAGCCCUUGCACGGCUUCAGCCGCACUGCAGGCUAAGCGAACUGCGAUGGUGCCGCUCCCUUGUCCAGUCUUAGAAGGCCAAGCGCUACCUACUGGUCGAAAAUGUGAAAACUUGAAAUUGCGGAAGGGAGGAUCACUGUCUUGCAAAAAGGAAAAAAAAAACCAACAAAGGAAAACCUUUGAUUUUAGGUGGCCCGGAGUCUGGGUGCCAGAGGUCCCCAAGAUCCUAGAGUUGAACCUGGAUACUGGGUCGAAAUUUGUUUCCCAUAACGAGCAAUGCAGAGAAUCAGAAUACUAAAUAACAGCUUUUUUCAAGUCAGAAGAAAAAUCCCCAGGCAUUCCUAGAAACUGAAUUAUAUACUCCCUUCUGAGCAGGAGGAGGAAUUGGUCAAGAACAUAGAGGUCUAAAAGGGAAAAGGACUGACAGAAAGAAGACUGGAAAAAUGUUUGGGGCAGAUAGCGAUAGCUAUGACAAACACAUCAAAGAUAUCUACCCUGCAUCAGAAAGAAUGUUGGAAGUUGAAGAGAUGCCCAUCAAU
Molecule: non-coding RNA, 1267 nt
Organism: Phascolarctos cinereus (koala)
Lineage: Eukaryota; Metazoa; Chordata; Mammalia; Diprotodontia; Phascolarctidae
Source: RefSeq, a predicted model, not a curated record